AAAUGGCGAUCAUCUACACAAUAACAGCCCUUCUUACAUAAUGCCUCUCACUCAGAUAACGAAAACAACUGAACGAUUUCGAAAAUAAAAUCAAACCUGCAAUCAACAACUGAAAAAUCGAUCCACAUCGUUGAAGACUCAAUGCUUAGCAACUAUAUAGUUUCAAGAAGCUUUUUCAUAUCCCUCUCGAUAGUCAGAGGAGACGUGGUUGGAUAAUAACGAUCAACAACUUGACCGUUCUUAUCAACCAAGAACUUAGCGAAAUUCCACUGAAU
Molecule: unclassified non-coding RNA, 275 nt
Filed under: Hevea brasiliensis (rubber tree)
Lineage: Eukaryota; Viridiplantae; Streptophyta; Magnoliopsida; Malpighiales; Euphorbiaceae
Source: RNAcentral